Molecule: ribosomal RNA, 452 nt
Filed under: uncultured bacterium
Lineage: Bacteria
Description: bacterial SSU rRNA
Rfam family: Bacterial small subunit ribosomal RNA
Source: RNAcentral
UUCGCAAUGCCCGAAAGGGUGACGAAGCGACGCCGCGUGUGGGAAGAAGGCCUUCGGGUUGUAAACCACUGUCGGGAAUUAAGAAAUGCAAGAAUGUUAAUAGCGUUUUUGCUUGACUAAGGCUCCGGAGGAAGCCACGGCUAACUCUGUGCCAGCAGCCGCGGUAAUACAGAGGCGGCAAGCGUUGUUCGGAAUUAUUGGGCGUAAAGAGCACGUAGGCGGCUAUAUAAGUCGGUUGUGAAAGCCUUCCGCUCAACGGGAGAACAGCAUCCGAUACUGUAUGGCUUGAGUGUGGGAGGGGAGAGCGGAACUUCUGGUGGAGCGGUGAAAUGCGUAGAUAUCAGAAGGAACGCCGGCGGCGAAAGCGGCUCUCUGGCCCAUAACUGACGCUGAGUGUGCGAAAGCUAGGGGAGCAAACGGGAUUAGAUACCCCGGUAGUCCUAGCCGUAAAC